AGAGUUUGAUCCUGGCUCAGGAUGAACGCUAGCUACAGGCUUAACACAUGCAAGUCGAGGGGCAGCAUGGUCUUAGCUUGCUAAGGCCGAUGGCGACCGGCGCACGGGUGAGUAACGCGUAUCCAACCUGCCUUACACUCUUGGACAGCCUUCUGAAAGGGAGAUUAAUACAAGAUGUUAUCAUGAGUAAGCAUUUUCGCAUGAUUAAAGGUUUACCGGUGUAAGAUGGGGAUGCGUUCCAUUAGAUAGUAGGCGGGGUAACGGCCCACCUAGUCUUCGAUGGAUAGGGGUUCUGAGAGGAAGGUCCCCCACAUUGGAACUGAGACACGGUCCAAACUCCUACGGGAGGCAGCAGUGAGGAAUAUUGGUCAAUGGACGAGAGUCUGAACCAGCCAAGUAGCGUGAAGGAUGAAGGUUCUAUGGAUUGUAAACUUCUUUUAUACGGGAAUAAACGGAUCCACGUGUGGAUUUUUGCAUGUACCGUAUGAAUAAGGAUCGGCUAACUCCGUGCCAGCAGCCGCGGUAAUACGGAGGAUCCGAGCGUUAUCCGGAUUUAUUGGGUUUAAAGGGAGCGUAGAUGGGUUGUUAAGUCAGUUGUGAAAGUUUGCGGCUCAACCGUAAAAUUGCAAUUGAUACUGGCAGUCUUGAGUACAGUUGAGGUAGGCGGAAUUCGUGGUGUAGCGGUGAAAUGCUUAGAUAUCACGAAGAACUCCGAUUGCGAAGGCAGCUUACUAACCUGUAACUGACAUUGAUGCUCGAAAGUGUGGGUAUCAAACAGGAUUAGAUACCCUGGUAGUCCACACGGUAAACGAUGAAUACUCGCUGUAGGCGAUAUACAGUCUGCGGCCAAGCGAAAGCAUUAAGUAUUCCACCUGGGGAGUACGCCGGCAACGGUGAAACUCAAAGGAAUUGACGGGGGCCCGCACAAGCGGAGGAACAUGUGGUUUAAUUCGAUGAUACGCGAGGAACCUUACCCGGGCUUAAAUUGCAACCGAAUAUGGCGGAAACGCUAUAGCUAGCAAUAGCGGUUGUGAAGGUGCUGCAUGGUUGUCGUCAGCUCGUGCCGUGAGGUGUCGGCUUAAGUGCCAUAACGAGCGCAACCCUUGCCGAUAGUUACUAACAGGUCAUGCUGAGGACUCUGUCGGGACUGCCAUCGUAAGAUGUGAGGAAGGUGGGGAUGACGUCAAAUCAGCACGGCCCUUACGUCCGGGGCUACACACGUGUUACAAUGGGGGGUACAGAAGGCAGCUACACGGCGACGUGAUGCUAAUCCCGAAAGCCUCUCUCAGUUCGGAUUGGAGUCUGCAACCCGACUCCAUGAAGCUGGAUUCGCUAGUAAUCGCGCAUCAGCCACGGCGCGGUGAAUACGUUCCCGGGCCUUGUACACACAGCCCGUCA
RNAcentral lists this ribosomal RNA (1398 nucleotides) under uncultured bacterium. Its description in RNAcentral is "16S ribosomal RNA". It matches the Rfam family "Bacterial small subunit ribosomal RNA". The record is from RNAcentral.